CCCUUAGAUGUUCUGGGCAGCACGCGCGCUACAAUGGUCUUCGCAAACGGAUGCAUUCUCGAAGGAGAAUGCCAAUCUUGGAAUCUAUGCCUUGGUCGGGACAGUUGCUUGCAAUUUUUCGACUCGAACCAGGAAUUCCUUGUAAUCGUGAUUCAUCACAUCACGAUGAAUACGUCCCUGCCCUUUGUACACACCGCCCGUCGCUCCUACCGAUCGAAGAGUUAGGUGAAUUGUUUUGAUCGACAAGAUUUGACUAUGGUCAACUCUCGUUGUGAAAUUCUGUGAAUCUGACUGUUUAGAGGAAGGAAAAGUCGUAACA
This 319-nucleotide ribosomal RNA is filed under the name uncultured eukaryote. Its description in RNAcentral is "partial 18S ribosomal RNA". It matches the Rfam family "Eukaryotic small subunit ribosomal RNA", at positions 1470 to 1796 of the family's 1831-position model. The record is from RNAcentral.